AUUCAUAUUGGGAUUUUUUCAAAACGUGCUAAGGUAAUGGAGAAAGUGGUGGAGGUUGAAAACUGAUUAUUGAAGCUAGGUGAAAAAAAUCUGGGCAUUAGCGUCUUGACGGACGUUAGCUUGGAUGACAGUCUGCCCAUCAUGGUGUUUUUUGCUAUUUUCUUCUAUUUUUUUUACCAUAUCCUGACGGGUUGAUCCUCCUUGGGCAUGAUGAUCUCCAUAGCAACAGUGUUCUCGUCAUGACAAUAGAAAACUUGCAUUUUCUUCCUGUUUUUGCCGUUUUUUCAUCUCUUAACGCGCAUAGGCCUCCAGUUGACAAAUACUUGAAAUAAACACAUAAUACCAACAUAACACUACAAAAAAUCUAUAAAAAAAAAUGACACAAAAAAUCGAGCUAAUAAAGUAGUGCAUUUUAUGUGUUAUCCAACUCCCCCACACUUAAAUCGCUUUUCCUCAAGCAACUUUGCUUGCAAUAAAAACAUGUAAAGUGCAAAAACAUAGCAGAAAAAGGACAUAAGGAAACAUAACAUCACAACUAAUCAUAUGUGGUCACAAAUUCGGAUCGGCUUUAGUUGAUUCGAUAGGUAAUAGUGUUAACACCAAGGGUAUUGUGACAACACAAACCGCAUUUGUGGACAAAAGACUCCCUCCUAGGCAUACUAAUCCAAAUCGUGUUGUUUUACCAUAACCUCACUCUCGUAUUUAUUUCAUCCUCUUUCAUUCGAGACAGUCACAUUAAUGCCCUUAAUCAUCUAUACUAAUGUCACACACAGGGUAGGAAAGUCGGUUAGCAAUUUUAUUCAUCUUUUCUUUUUCUUUUUUCAUUUUGAUCAAUAAUGCAUUUUUUUCAUUUGGUUUUUAAAGGUUCAACCAUUGUUGGGAUAGGUAACUAGGUGAGAGUUACUCAACUUAGCAGAUGUAAUUUUCCCUUUUUAUUCUUCAUUUUUUGCUUAUAUUUAUUAAAUAUCCUACUUAAUGUGGG
RNAcentral lists this long non-coding RNA (982 nucleotides) under Lathyrus oleraceus (garden pea). RNAcentral's name for it is "Pisum sativum (pea) long non-coding RNA (PSAT_LNC001413)". Lineage: Eukaryota; Viridiplantae; Streptophyta; Magnoliopsida; Fabales; Fabaceae. The record is from RNAcentral.